AAGCAAAUGUCUUCUAUGGAAAGGAAUGGAAGGCAGAAGUCAAGGGAGAGAGCUGUGUCAGUGCCCUUUUUACUUCUUGAAUUCAGAUCUCCCUAGAAAUACUGAAAGAAACGUACUGAAAGCACAUGGAGAAAAAAGACAGUUGAGGAAACUGCCAAUGUGUCAGUGGUGGACCUGACCUGCCGUCUGGAAAAACCUGCCAAUUAUGAUGACAUCAAGAAGGUGGUGAACCAGGCAUCGGAGGGCCCCCUCAAGGACAUUCUGGGCUACACUGAGCACCAGGUUGUCUCCUCCGACUUCAACAGCGACACCCACUCUUCCACCUUCAAUGUGGGGGCUGGCAUUGCUCUCAACGACCACUUUGUCAAGCUCAUUUCCUGGUAUGACAAUGAAUUUGGCUACACCAAUAGGGUGGUGGAUCAUGGUCCACAUGGCCUCCAGAAAGUAAGAACCCUGGACCACCAGCCCCAGCAAGAGCACGAGAGGAAGAGGGAGGCCCUCAUUGCUGGGAAGUCCCUGCCACACUCAGUCCCCCACCACACUAAGGCUCUCCCCUCUUCACAGUUUCCAUGCAGACCCCCUGAAGAAGGAGGGGCCUAGGGAGCCUGACCUCAUCAUGUACCAUCAACAAAGUCCCUUGUGCUCAGCCAAUAAUAAUAAUACAGGUAUAAAGUAUUAUUGAAAAAUGCUAAGAGAGGGGAUGUUGUUUGUAGCACAAAAUGCAUCUCUACUAGGUAAUGCAUAUAUUAAUUGGAUAGACUUAGUAAUUUCACAAUCUAUAGAUACAUCAAAACCUUAUGUUGUACAUGAUAAAUGUGUAUAAUUUUAUCUGUCAAUUAAAAAAUCAUAAACAAAUUUACUAAUGGUAAUCUAAUAAAGUAAUGUUUAAGC
Long non-coding RNA from Pongo pygmaeus (Bornean orangutan), 891 nucleotides. RefSeq lists it as uncharacterized. The transcript has 3 exons. The record is from RefSeq and is a predicted model, not a curated record. NCBI's taxonomy places the organism in Eukaryota, Metazoa, Chordata, Mammalia, Primates, Hominidae.